RNAcentral lists this ribosomal RNA (253 nucleotides) under uncultured bacterium. Its description in RNAcentral is "partial 16S ribosomal RNA". It matches the Rfam family "Bacterial small subunit ribosomal RNA", at positions 524 to 776 of the family's 1533-position model. The record is from RNAcentral.
UACGUAGGUGGCAAGCGUUGUCCGGAUUUAUUGGGCGUAAAGCGCGCGUAGGCGGUUUUUUAAGUCUGAUGUGAAAGCCCACGGCUCAACCGUGGAGGGUCAUUGGAAACUGGAAAACUUGAGUGCAGAAGAGGAAAGUGGAAUUCCAUGUGUAGCGGUGGAAUGCGUAGAUAUAUGGAAGAACACCAGUGGCGAAGGCGACAUUCUGGUCUGUUACUGACACUGAGGCACGAAAGCGUGGGUAGCAAACAGG